GCCGUUGUAGCACAAUGGUAGUGCGUUGCUUUCCUACGAUGCUUCGUUAGGCAAAGGUUGUGGGUUCGAGUCCCAUCAACGGUU
Molecule: transfer RNA, 84 nt
Filed under: Coprinellus micaceus
Lineage: Eukaryota; Fungi; Basidiomycota; Agaricomycetes; Agaricales; Psathyrellaceae
Rfam family: tRNA
About the family: Transfer RNA (tRNA) molecules are approximately 80 nucleotides in length. Their secondary structure includes four short double-helical elements and three loops (D, anti-codon, and T loops).
Source: Rfam by way of RNAcentral